This 277-nucleotide ribosomal RNA is filed under the name uncultured bacterium. Its description in RNAcentral is "partial 16S ribosomal RNA". It matches the Rfam family "Bacterial small subunit ribosomal RNA", at positions 53 to 339 of the family's 1533-position model. The record is from RNAcentral.
ACAUGCAAGUCGAACGAGAAAGGUCUUCGGACCGAGUACAGUGGCGAACGGGUGAGUAACGCGUGAGAAUUUGCCCAUCAGUGGGGGAUACCUUCGGGAAACUGGAGUUAAUACCGCAUGACCUUGUAAGAGAAAAGGCGGCCUCUUUGCUGUCGCUGAUGGAUAAGCUCGCGUACUAUUAGUUAGUUGGUGGGGUAAAGGCCUACCAAGACGAUGAUGGUUAGCCGGCCUGAGAGGGUGAUCGGCCACACUGGGACUGAGAUACGGCCCAGACUCC